This 274-nucleotide ribosomal RNA is filed under the name uncultured bacterium. Its description in RNAcentral is "partial 16S ribosomal RNA". It matches the Rfam family "Archaeal small subunit ribosomal RNA", at positions 473 to 747 of the family's 1478-position model. The record is from RNAcentral.
AAACCAGCACCUCAAGUGGUCAGGAUGAUUAUUGGGCCUAAAGCAUCCGUAGCCUGCUUUGUCAGUUUUCGGUUAAAUCCAUACGCUCAACGUAUGGGCUGCCGGAAAUACUGCAUAGCUAGGGAGUGGGAGAGGUAGACGGUACUCGGGAGGAAGGGGUAAAAUCCUUUGAUCUCUCGAUGACCACCUGUGGCGAAGGCGGUCUACCAGAACACGUCCGACGGUGAGGGAUGAAAGCUGGGGGAGCAAACCGGAUUAGAAACCCCAGUAGUCC